UGCAAGUCGAGCGGAGAUGAGGUGCUUGCACCUUAUCUUAGCGGCGGACGGGUGAGUAAUGCUUAGGAAUCUGCCUAUUAGUGGGGGACAACAUUCCGAAAGGAAUGCUAAUACCGCAUACGUCCUACGGGAGAAAGCAGGGGAUCUUCGGACCUUGCGCUAAUAGAUGAGCCUAAGUCGGAUUAGCUAGUUGGUGGGGUAAAGGCCUACCAAGGCGACGAUCUGUAGCGGGUCUGAGAGGACGACCAGCCACACUGGGACUGAGACACGGCCCAGACUCCUACGGGAGGCAGCAGUGGGGAAUUUUUCGCAAUGGGGGCAACCCUGACGAAGCAAUGCCGCGUGGAUGAAGAAGGCCUUCGGGUUGUAAAGUCCUUUCGUGGGGGACGAAAAGGCGGAUCCGAAUACGGUCUGCUGUUGACGUGAACCCAAGAAGAAGCACCGGCUAACUCCGUGCCAGCAGCCGCGGUAAUACGGAGGGUGCGAGCGUUAAUCGGAAUUACUGGGCGUAAAGGGCGCGUAGGCGGUGGGUUACGUCUGCCGUGAAAUCCCCGGGCUUAACCUGGGAAUUGCAUUCGAUACUGGGAAGCUAGAGUAUGGGAGAGGAUGGUAGAAUUCCAGGUGUAGCGGUGAAAUGCGUAGAGAUCUGGAGGAAUACCGAUGGCGAA
RNAcentral lists this ribosomal RNA (668 nucleotides) under uncultured bacterium. RNAcentral's name for it is "bacterial SSU rRNA". It matches the Rfam family "Bacterial small subunit ribosomal RNA", at positions 56 to 719 of the family's 1533-position model. The record is from RNAcentral.